Molecule: long non-coding RNA, 1747 nt
Filed under: Spirodela polyrhiza (greater duckweed)
Lineage: Eukaryota; Viridiplantae; Streptophyta; Magnoliopsida; Alismatales; Araceae
Description: long non-coding RNA (SPOL_LNC001317)
Source: RNAcentral
UCGCCGUUCCGGCAGCGUCCCUCACCACUGCUCUGUCUGGUCGCUCGGUGCUCUCCGGUGGGAAGGAGGAGGGGUCAAGAGGGCCGGUGGUGGGCGUCGUCCUCUUUCUAACUGAGGAAGUGGAAGUUUGACGUGAACGCCAGAUCUCUGGUGUCUCCUGGAUUACGCUUGAUCUGCACCCCGUCUGAAGCAAAGCAGAUACUGAUUGCAUGGGGUGCUCCCAAGUUAAGUUUUAUUCGACGAGGUCUCGCUCGUAGCUCCCACCGCGAGUCUCCUGUCCUGAUUCUCAGUCUCCUCAGGUGACGACCCUAGAUCUGCUCUGCUCUCUCUCUCUCUCUCUCUGUAGCUUGAACAACAAUGAACAGUUUUUCUCAGUGGGCGUAGCGGCAGAUCUGACAAUCUCCUCCAAACCCGCCGAUACCUCGACGCGACGUUGAUUAUAUGGAUGGUGUCGGCGGGGCCUCACGGUUGGCCUCGCCGGUCACCUCCUCCCUGCGACUGCCCUCGCCGAGCAGACGGGUGUAGCUUGCUCUCCGUCGACAGUUGACCCUCUCCACGAACGCCCCUGUCAUCACGAGCAGCAGAGAUAAGACCCCGCCUGCAUCUAUCCAUCUCCACAGUGACUCGGAAUUGGGAAUAGAGAAGCGGUUGUCGGUCUUCCACUCGGGCGAUGCCGAGGAGAUGGUGCGUCCUUUUCCUUUUUAUCUGUCGUUUUUGUUUAUCUUGGCGUCGCUCGAUCACAGUGUUGACCCUUUUGGGAGGUUCCGUCCUCAUCAUCCUAGUGCUGCACUCCUCGUCCGUCGGCCGCGUGAUUGCCUCAGCGGCUCCCCCGGGGCCUCGCAGUGGACGCGCCAGCGGCCGCUGCCAUCCGCGCACCGCUCCGGUGGCUCGUCCCCGGGGCUUCCGCCGCCAGAACCGGGCAAAUGGGAACAAUCUUGCUCCGUUUGAGGCCUCGCGAUAUUAACUACUCGGUCGCGGUCGUCUAGCGGGGACGUUUUUUUUGUUUUUUGAAGGCCAUGUGGCUGAUGAUUUUGCCCAGUGAUAAGGGAAACGUCUCGGAGGAGGACUCCUGCGACGGAGACUUCGCAGCGGUUCCCGACGAAGCUGCACUGCCCUUCCCCCGUCGCUCGCGGCUCUUCCGCCGUGUUCUUUCUGCCCAGCUCGCCUUUCCUGCUUGUUCUCCUCGGCAAGCUUCAUCAGUUGACUUUGAAACCUGCAACUUUACAAGCGGGACCGAUGGAUCCAUCUUGACCCCGCAACAUGAAUGACGCCCUUCUCCAUCUUCUUCGUCUUCUUCCUCCCCCCCGGUGCUGCCCUCAUGGGUCGUCUCUAUGGUCAAGGGCGAAGCUACCCCCGCACCUCAUGCAGGCACCGAGAGCAGAAAUUCCUAGACUUAGCUUCUACGACUGCUAUGGCCGCAGACCACUCGUAGUUCUCCCACGUUGAGAGAGAGAGAGAGAGAGAGAGAGAAGGGAGAGAUGACGCGAACUGACCUAAACUGGGCGGUUCUGGCGCUCGACUCGGAGGGACGGGUGCCGAGCAUUCAGCACGCCCGACAGCUGUUGUCCUCUGCGAUAUCCAAUCAGUGACUCCCCGAGAUCCAAUCAGGAGGAGAUCGUCUUCUUUCUUCGGUGAUAACUACGUUUCCAUAGCCUCGAUGGAGCCGACACAGACACAAGCGGACAGAGCGAGAGCGAGAGAGAGAGAGAGAGAGAGAGAGAGAGAGAGAGAGAGAGAGAGAGAGAGG